GCCGGGCGUGGUGGUGCGCGCCUGUAAUCCCAGCUACUCGGGAGGCUGAGGCAGGAGAAUCACUUGAACCCAGGAGGCGGAGGUUGCAGUGAGCCGAGAUGACGCCACUGCACUCCAGCCUAGGUGACAGAGUGAGACUCUGCCUCAAAAUAAAAAAAAAAAGAUGCAAUAAAGUUCUUUUUUUUUUUGAGACAGAGUCUCGCUCUGUCGCCCAGGCUGGAGUGCAGUGGCGCGAUCUCGGCUCACUGCAAACUCCACCUCCGGGGUUCACGCCAUUCUCCUGCCUCAG
RNAcentral lists this small RNA (289 nucleotides) under Papio anubis (olive baboon). RNAcentral describes it as "Metazoan signal recognition particle RNA (ENSPANG00000051142.1)". The stretch from base 1 to 148 matches the Rfam family "Metazoan signal recognition particle RNA". From Rfam's summary of the family: The signal recognition particle (SRP) is a universally conserved ribonucleoprotein. It is involved in the co-translational targeting of proteins to membranes. The eukaryotic SRP consists of a 300-nucleotide 7S RNA and six proteins: SRPs 72, 68, 54, 19, 14, and 9. The record is from RNAcentral. Lineage: Eukaryota; Metazoa; Chordata; Mammalia; Primates; Cercopithecidae.